GGACGCUGCGCCAGUGCGACACCAUUUUGAAAGUUACAAAUAAAAAUGAUGCGCGUGAAGUUGUGUGUCCUGCUCAUUGUAGCAUUACUGCUGAUUGGCUGUAUUCAUGAAGGGGAAACAUUCACGGCCGGCCGACACCCACCAAAGGGUAAAAUAGUGAAAGGCAAAGAGUUUGACAGGAGAAAAGAGCUUAUUAGGCGCGAGGCAAAAGAUAUUUUGAGGCUUCUUGAUCUUGAAGAAGAACUGGACAUGCAGGACGACCCGUAAUCACAUACUGAUGGUCAACAUCGAGUAGUCUCCGUAAAUGAGCCUCUAGAAGAAAAAAUUUAAACGAAACUAUAUAUUUCAUCGGGCAUUUCCUAAUUUGUGAAAAGUCAAAUUAUCAGACGAAAAUAA
Molecule: long non-coding RNA, 396 nt
Organism: Lingula anatina
Lineage: Eukaryota; Metazoa; Brachiopoda; Lingulata; Lingulida; Lingulidae
Source: RefSeq, a predicted model, not a curated record